AAACUCAAAGGAAUUGGACGGGGGCCCGCACAAGCGGCGGAGCAUGCGGAUUAAUUCGAUGCAACGCGAAGAACCUUACCAAGGCUUGACAUGAACCGGUAAUACCUGGAAACAGGUGCCCCGCUUGCGGUCGGUUUACAGGUGGUGCAUGGUUGUCGUCAGCUCGUGUCGUGAGAUGUUGGGUUAAGUCCCGCAACGAGCGCAACCCUCGUUCUAUGUUGCCAGCGGUUCGGCCGGGGACUCAUAGGAGACUGCCGGGGUCAACUCGGAGGAAGGUGGGGACGACGUCAAAUCAUCAUGCCCCUUAUGUCUUGGGCUUCACGCAUGCUACAAUGGCCGGUACAAAGGGUUGCGAUACUGUGAGGUGGAGCUAAUCCCAAAAAGCCGGUCUCAGUUCGGAUUGGGGUCUGCAACUCGACCCCAUGAAGUCGGAGUCGCUAGUAAUCGCAGAUCAGCAACGCUGCGGUGAAUACGUUCCCGGGCCUUGUACACACCGCCCGUCAAGUCACGAAAGUUGGUAACACCCGAAGCCGGUGGCCUAACCCUUGUGGGGUAGCCGUCGAAGGUGGGACCGGCGAUUGGGGAAUAAGUCGUUAACCAAAAA
Molecule: ribosomal RNA, 604 nt
Filed under: Paenarthrobacter ilicis
Lineage: Bacteria; Bacillati; Actinomycetota; Actinomycetes; Micrococcales; Micrococcaceae
Description: bacterial SSU rRNA
Rfam family: Bacterial small subunit ribosomal RNA
Source: RNAcentral